Paramisgurnus dabryanus is the source of this 1229-nucleotide long non-coding RNA. RefSeq lists it as uncharacterized. NCBI's taxonomy places the organism in Eukaryota, Metazoa, Chordata, Actinopteri, Cypriniformes, Cobitidae. The record is from RefSeq and is a predicted model, not a curated record.
GCAAUGGCUGCGUACUAGUGCUGCGUUGCAGGCUGCAUAUUUCAUGCUACAUACUUCCUGCUUUGGGCUGCAUACUCCAUACGCUGCGCUGCAUGCUCCAUGCUGCAUAUCCCAUGCUCUGUGCCUCAGCGGGCGCUGCUGUUUUGUUUCUGUUUUGUUUUUAUUAUUUUGUUUCCUACUGUUUCGUUUCCUGCGUGUGUGUGCUGAAACGCGACUGCGCGUUGUCUUUAAACAAGGCUGAAGCGGCUCUGUAAUGAGUGCUUGAAAGUUCUUUCUGUCUAAUUUUGUUUUCAGCAGGGUUUCCCUGUUAUGUAAACUUUCUUUUCUUUGGUUAAUAUAUUAGUCAUUUAACUUUAUUUGUAUUUUGGUGCUAUAACUCAUUUGAUCUGAAUCCAAUUGUUUAUUUAAUUUCUUUUCUUUCUUUUUACUUAUACUAUUAUUCAUAUUAUUUGGUUGUGAAGCCAAGGGCAUUUUGUUUAAAGUUUUGGGUUUUGUCUAUUUUGAUUUGUGCAGACUCAUAGACUGGGCAUUGCAUUAUUUCAUACACAUGCAUAUAUUGGAAGCUGUGUAAUGUUUUGUGACUUACUUAAUUUAGUCUAGUAAACAAAAAUCUCUAUUUUGUGCAAUUUGGUCUUUUGAGCUGCACUACAAGUUUAUUGUUUUGUUAUUUCUUUAUUAUUUUUCUUCGUAAACUUUCUCUGCUUGCCGCGCUCAUUGCAGACACAGCGCUUGCAUUCCGUGCGAUUAUUGUUUAUUUUAAUACCUCUCUUUGUUUUUGGCAGGAUCUGGGCGCUGGGUGCAGACGAGUGGCUCUAUUGUGGUGGUGGUGUGUCCUUCACCGUGUGUUGUGCUUCUCACUGACACCAGUCUGUGUGUGUGUGCUAUGUUCACCUGAUUGUAGUGAUUAAAUUUGGCAUAUGAGACUGCCCCAGUUGAACAGCAGCGUGGUGCUGAUUGGUGACGAUUUCUCCGUGGUGGAUCUGGGCGCUGGGUGCAGACGAGUGGCUCUAUUGUGGUGGUGGUGUGUCCUUCACCGUGUGUUGUGCUUCUCACUGACACCAGUCUGUGUGUGUGUGCUAUGUUCACCUGAUUGUAGUGAUUAAAUUUGGCAUAUGAGACUGCCCCAGUUGGUAAGACCCAGCUCCUUGCCCACAAAAGAAGUGUUAUGUGUAAUGAGUGGCCAUAUUUUUAAUAUUUGUACAACUCAAUAAAAAUAUUUUUGUACCAUU